RNAcentral lists this non-coding RNA (30 nucleotides) under Rattus norvegicus (Norway rat). The record is from RNAcentral. Lineage: Eukaryota; Metazoa; Chordata; Mammalia; Rodentia; Muridae.
UGCCUGUCUAUGAGGUUCUCCUGCCUUUCU